This 252-nucleotide ribosomal RNA is filed under the name uncultured bacterium. RNAcentral's name for it is "partial 16S ribosomal RNA". It matches the Rfam family "Bacterial small subunit ribosomal RNA", at positions 524 to 776 of the family's 1533-position model. The record is from RNAcentral.
UACAGGGGGUGCAAACGUUGCUCGGAAUCAUUGGGCGUAAAGCGCACGUAGGCGGUCUGUUAUGUCGAUGUGAAAGCCCUUGGCUUAACUGAGGAAGUGCAUCCGAAACUGGCAGGCUAGAGUACUAAAGAGGGUCGCGGAAUUCCCGGUGUAGAGGUGAAAUUCGUAGAUAUCGGGAGGAACACCGGUGGCGAAGGCGGCGACCUGGGUAGAUACUGACGCUGAGGUGCGAAAGCGUGGGGAGCAAACAGG